RNAcentral lists this ribosomal RNA (200 nucleotides) under uncultured bacterium. Its description in RNAcentral is "partial 16S ribosomal RNA". It matches the Rfam family "Bacterial small subunit ribosomal RNA", at positions 29 to 256 of the family's 1533-position model. The record is from RNAcentral.
AACGAACGUUGGCGGCAUGCCUAAUACAUGCAAGUCGAACGAGACCUUCGGGUCUAGUGGCGCACGGGUGCGUAACGCGUGGGAAUCUGCCCUUGGGUUCGGAAUAACAGUUGGAAACGACUGCUAAUACCGGAUGAUGACGAAAGUCCAAAGAUUUAUCGCCCAGGGAUGAGCCCGCGUAGGACUAGCUAGUUGGUGAG